GUCUACGGCCAUGCCAUCCUGAACAAGCCCGAUCCCGUCUGAUCUCGGAAUCUAAUAAGCAGGGUUGGGCUUGGUUAGUACUUGGAUGGGAGAGACCACCUAGGAAGAGCAGGUACUGUAGGCG
This 124-nucleotide ribosomal RNA is filed under the name Pteropus vampyrus (large flying fox). Lineage: Eukaryota; Metazoa; Chordata; Mammalia; Chiroptera; Pteropodidae. The record is from RNAcentral.